This 78-nucleotide transfer RNA is filed under the name Methanotorris igneus Kol 5. RNAcentral describes it as "tRNA-Met (CAT) (tRNA-Met-CAT-1-1)". It matches the Rfam family "tRNA". Rfam says of the family: Transfer RNA (tRNA) molecules are approximately 80 nucleotides in length. Their secondary structure includes four short double-helical elements and three loops (D, anti-codon, and T loops). Further hydrogen bonds mediate the characteristic L-shaped molecular structure. tRNAs have two regions of fundamental functional importance: the anti-codon, which is responsible for specific mRNA codon recognition, and the 3' end, to which the tRNAs corresponding amino acid is attached (by aminoacyl-tRNA synthetases). tRNAs cope with the degeneracy of the genetic code in two manners: having more than one tRNA (with a specific anti-codon) for a particular amino acid; and 'wobble' base-pairing, i.e. permitting non-standard base-pairing at the 3rd anti-codon position. Lineage: Archaea; Methanobacteriati; Methanobacteriota; Methanococci; Methanococcales; Methanocaldococcaceae. The record is from RNAcentral.
GCCGAGGUGGCUUAGCCUGGUUAUAGCGCUCGGCUCAUAACCGAGAGGUCGGGGGUUCAAAUCCCCCCCUCGGCACCA